Homo sapiens (human) is the source of this 800-nucleotide long non-coding RNA. Ensembl annotates it as long intergenic non-protein coding RNA 2465. The record is from Ensembl. NCBI's taxonomy places the organism in Eukaryota, Metazoa, Chordata, Mammalia, Primates, Hominidae.
CAUCUAUCUUCUGUCAUGUAACCAAUGGCUCUACCCAACAUAUUCUUCUCACCACAGAUGACAAAGACACAAGGAGCCAAGACAGAUCAUUCAAGCAUAUUCAUUGCCUCUAUCUUCAUCCCAUUAAAUAACAUCCCGCCAACCAAAGCAAGUUAUCUGCAUAAGAAUAAAUAUUCCACCUACUCUACUGCAAGGCCCUGCAAGAGUCAUGAGACAAAAGAUAUAUAAUUGAGCACUCUGAUGCCAAGGAUGUUCCAUGCAUAGUUCCAUAGGAGACUGCACAGUUGGAACCUGGGCUCCACCACACUCACAAACUAUGGGACUUCAGAGAGCAGUCACACACGUGGAUGAUCAAAGGUCAUUUCCUGGACAACAAAAGAUCCUCUGUGGACAGCACCCAAGAUGGAAACAACUGACAGUCUAUGGCCAGGGCUAUACUCUGGUGAAACUGAAAGGUGUCUGCAUGGAAGUGUCUGACUACCACCAUCCACUCAGGCAAAUGCAUUUGUUUCCCUCUAUUCAUUAUUAGAAGAGAGGAGAUUACAUACCAGACAUAUACCAAUAGAGAUGGGGUUUCAUCAUGUUGACCAGGCUGGUCUUGCCCUCCCGACCACAGGUGAUCUGCCCGCCUGAGCCUCCCAAAGUGCUGGGAUUACAGGCAUGAGCCACCACGCCUGUCCAAAACUUCUUGACUUAAUAAAGAAAGAAAGAAAGAAAAAAAAAAAAAAUCCUGUGCAGAGGUUGCUAAGAACCUUGGUAAGAAUCUUCUAUCUAUAAAAUUGUGAAGAAGAAUAAAAAAA